CACGUAGGGGGCAAGCGUUGUCCGGAAUCAUUGGGCGUAAAGAGCUCGUAGGCGGCUCAGUAAGUCGGGUGUGAAACCCUCAGGCUCAACCUGGGGACGCCACCCGAUACUGCUGUGGCUAGAGUCCAGUAGGGGAGUGUGGAAUUCCCGGUGUAGCGGUGAAAUGCGCAGAUAUCGGAAGGAACAUCAGUGGCGAAAGCGGCUUCCUGGACCAGCACCGACGUUCAGGCACGAAAGCGUGGGGAGCAAACAGG
This 254-nucleotide ribosomal RNA is filed under the name uncultured bacterium. Its description in RNAcentral is "partial 16S ribosomal RNA". It matches the Rfam family "Bacterial small subunit ribosomal RNA", at positions 524 to 776 of the family's 1533-position model. The record is from RNAcentral.